GGGGGCGAAUUGGAUUCGACCGGGCAGGUUGAGGUGUCGGUGGCGUGCCGUGGUUGGUCAGUUGGCCACGAUAAAAGCUGACCGUGAAAGUUAUCUGCCGAAGAUAGCUACGCUCUCGCUGCCUAAUUAGAGCAGCGCCGACUGCGGACUUUCGCCGGAGAAGUCCAAAAGUCGGUCACCAAUUCCGGAUCGCCGCGAGUCAACGCUGGGAACGUUCGCGGUUAAACAAGUGCCUGGCUAGCCGGUAACGACCUUGUCGGAUGGGGCGUGAAUGGCGAAGGCGUAAAUAGUUCGACUACGCACGUAGAGGCCGCCGCUGAAAUGUCACGGGACGCGGGUUCGAUUCCCGCCGCCUCCACUG
This 361-nucleotide transfer-messenger RNA is filed under the name Planctomycetaceae bacterium. It matches the Rfam family "transfer-messenger RNA". Rfam says of the family: Bacterial tmRNA, also known as 10Sa RNA or SsrA, is named for its dual tRNA and mRNA-like properties. The record is from RNAcentral. RNAcentral also lists the same sequence under 1 other name. Lineage: Bacteria; Pseudomonadati; Planctomycetota; Planctomycetia; Planctomycetales; Planctomycetaceae.